This 501-nucleotide ribosomal RNA is filed under the name uncultured bacterium. Its description in RNAcentral is "bacterial SSU rRNA". It matches the Rfam family "Bacterial small subunit ribosomal RNA", at positions 30 to 524 of the family's 1533-position model. The record is from RNAcentral.
AUUGAACGCUGGCGGAAUGCUUUACACAUGCAAGUCGAACGGCAGCACGGGGCAACCUGGUGGCGAGUGGCGAACGGGUGAGUAAUACAUCGGAACGUGCCCAAUCGUGGGGGAUAACGUAGCGAAAGUUACGCUAAUACCGCAUACGAUCUACGAAUGAAAGCGGGGGAUCGCAAGACCUCGCGCGAGUGGAGCGGCCGAUGUCAGAUUAGGUAGUUGGUGGGGUAAAGGCUCACCAAGCCAACGAUCUGUAGCUGGUCUGAGAGGACGACCAGCCACACUGGAACUGAGACACGGUCCAGACUCCUACGGGAGGCAGCAGUGGGGAAUUUUGGACAAUGGGCGCAAGCCUGAUCCAGCCAUUCCGCGUGCAGGAUGAAGGCCUUCGGUUGUAAACUGCUUUUGUACGGUAACGAAACGGCGAGCUCUAAUACAGUUUGCUAAUGACGGUACCGUAAGAAUAAGACACCGGCUAACUACGUAGCCAGCAGCCGCGGUAAU